Helianthus annuus (common sunflower) is the source of this 477-nucleotide long non-coding RNA. RefSeq lists it as uncharacterized. The record is from RefSeq and is a predicted model, not a curated record. The transcript is spliced from 3 exons. Lineage: Eukaryota; Viridiplantae; Streptophyta; Magnoliopsida; Asterales; Asteraceae.
UCAAAACCAUCCAACUUCUUAUCUCUCUCUCUCUCUCUCUAAAAUCGUUCAAACCAAAACACCCUACAACACUUUCAUUUCAAUCUUCAAAAACUCAAGAAUUCAUACACUUAUGGAGGUCCAUGGAUGAAACAAGCUACAAGGGUGUUUAGAAAAGCUAUUAGGAGCCUUUUUGGUAGAACUUGAAGCUUUGGAUCAACAAGAUUUCUUACCAUCAUCUUUAUAUCUUGCAAAAUUUGUCAAGAAACUAACGACGAACAAGGAAUCGAAUAGGGAUUUGCACAGAACGCAAAUCUGAGAUUAGUGGACGGCUUUGAAAAAAUAUGUUCAAGUGGUUAUCAAGAACGCAAGCUUUUGUGAUGUCAUCCGUCUUCGGUUAUUACGUAUUGAACUUUGAAUAAUGUAGUUAAAGUUGUUGUUAUUUCAAAUUUCAAUCAAGACAUAUGUAAUGUAAAUUAUGGUUUCGAAUCAAAUGUA